Molecule: long non-coding RNA, 1319 nt
Organism: Piliocolobus tephrosceles (Ugandan red Colobus)
Lineage: Eukaryota; Metazoa; Chordata; Mammalia; Primates; Cercopithecidae
Exons: 3
Source: RefSeq, a predicted model, not a curated record
AGUGCUGACAGCGACUCGGGCAGGGCCUCCGUGCGGAGGCUGGGAGGAGCGCCUGCUUUUUAGGAAAGGAUGCUUCAGGCUCAGCCUCCCGUCCAUGCUCCUCUCCGGUGUGAGUGCAGAGAAGGUCCUGGGUUCUGUCUGUGGCUUCACUUUGGGGGUCUUGGACCUGGACCCGAGAGAGCCCAAAACCACAGGAGCAGCAGAAGGGCUGGAGCGUCGCACAGCAACUGUGGGCCCGCGGUGGCUCUGGAGCCAGUUGGCGUGACUCUGCCAUUAGCUCUGUCCCCUUGAAAGUACAAAUACUGCCAUUGGCUGGGAGUUUCCUUGUUCAUUUUCCUGCACGGGGCACCUUCGAUCACAUCUGUUGUCUGCAUGAAUCAGGUCUUCCCUAUUUCUCAGAGGUACGUCAUUCGUUCUAGAGAGUUCUGUCUCCCAUAUGAAGUGCUUCCUACAGAAGGAAUGAAUGUACAGCUCUUCAUGUUGCCAAAGCACCAAGACACACUAAACCCACACAGCACAUUCCACAGGGCAUUUUGAGGGGCUGGAGGCCAUGGCACCAGAGCCCAGGGUGGCACCUGCACACUCCCAUGUGGGAAGUGGGCAUGACCAGAGGCAGAGGCCAGACUUGGCAGCACGUGCUGAGGCUGCAGAGCCCUGAGGAGGCUGCUAGGCCCUGACACUGGGUGGCCCAGACAAUCCAGCCUGACAAGGAGCUGCAUUCCACCCGUGUUGGAGAUGGUGCUGACAGAUUGCCACACAGAAGCUUCUGCAGCCUGGUGCCCACCAGGCCCAUGGAGGAAAAGGGUUCUGGAGUGAAAAGCCUCAUCUGGCCCUCAGGAGGCAUCUGUGUGAGGGCAGGGCCCUGUCUGCCCCGGGUGUCAGAAUCUAUGAAGGACCGGAGCUGGGCUUGGCCACUCCUGAGACAACAUCAAUGGAUCCUGCACACAGCAUUCCCAGGCCGGGCUGGAGAGACUUUGAUGGAGCCUGUACACAGCAUCCCUGGACUGGGCUGGAGAGACCUCCUGCCUGUUUGCACACACUCGAAGGGAUAUUGUGUGAAUUGUUUUCUGAACACACCAUUUUCCUUACAGAAACUCCUAUUCAUCCUUCAAUCCCAGCUCACAGUCACCUCCUCUGGGAAGCCCUCCAUCGCCGGUCAUUGUUGGGUGGCGUGCCUGUCUCCUCUUUGGACUGCAAGCUCCCCGGGGAUCCUUGUGGUGUCUUUUCAUUGCUUUCCUCCACUUCCCGCAUGGUUCUUGGCACACACGGGGUGCUUACUGAAUACAUGGUCAGUAAAUUUAAAGGAUGAGAUGUACUGA